AAUGGCUGAGGAGAAGAAGGUUCCUUUUGGGGGGUACCCCCGGGAAGAGAUCCAGUGGAGACGGGGUGGGCCUG
RNAcentral lists this transfer RNA (74 nucleotides) under Eragrostis tef. RNAcentral describes it as "tRNA-Arg". The record is from RNAcentral. Lineage: Eukaryota; Viridiplantae; Streptophyta; Magnoliopsida; Poales; Poaceae.